GUGUUUGACCAUACCACCUGAAUGCCCAAUCUCAUCUCAUAUUGGAAGCUAAGCAGGGUUGGAUCUGGUUAGUACUUGGAUAGGAGAACAAUGUUAUAGUCU
RNAcentral lists this ribosomal RNA (102 nucleotides) under Castor canadensis (American beaver). Lineage: Eukaryota; Metazoa; Chordata; Mammalia; Rodentia; Castoridae. The record is from RNAcentral.